CCUACGGGUGGCUGCAGUGAGGAAUAUUGGUCAAUGGACGAGAGUCUGAACCAGCCAAGUAGCGUGAAGGAUGACUGCCCUAUGGGUUGUAAACUUCUUUUAUAUGGGAAUAAAAUGUUCCACGGGGGGGAUUUUGUAUGUACCAUAUGAAUAAGGAUCGGCUAACUCCGUGCCAGCAGCCGCGGUAAUAAGGAGGAUCCGAGCGUUAUCCGGAUUUAUUGGGUGUAAAGGGAGCGUAGGUGGAUUGUUCAGUCAGUUGUGAAAGUUUGCGGCUCAACCGUAAAAUUGCAGUUGAAACUGGCAGUCUUGAGUACAGUAGAGGUGGGCGGAAUUCGUGGUGUAGCGGUGAAAUGCUUAGAUAUCACGAAGAACUCCGAUUGCGAAGGCAGUUCACUGGACUGCAACUGACACUGAGGCUCGAAAGUGUGGGUAUCAAACAGGAUUAGUACCCGAGUAGUC
This 459-nucleotide ribosomal RNA is filed under the name uncultured bacterium. RNAcentral's name for it is "partial 16S ribosomal RNA". It matches the Rfam family "Bacterial small subunit ribosomal RNA", at positions 338 to 795 of the family's 1533-position model. The record is from RNAcentral.